Molecule: ribosomal RNA, 253 nt
Filed under: uncultured bacterium
Lineage: Bacteria
Description: partial 16S ribosomal RNA
Rfam family: Bacterial small subunit ribosomal RNA
Source: RNAcentral
UACGGAGGGUGCAAGCGUUAUCCGGAUUCACUGGGUUUAAAGGGUGCGUAGGUGGGCGAGUAAGUCAGUGGUGAAAUCUCCGGGCUUAACCCGGAAACUGCCAUUGAUACUAUUUGUCUUGAAUGUUGUGGAGGUAAGCGGAAUAUGUCAUGUAGCGGUGAAAUGCUUAGAUAUGACAUAGAACACCGAUAGCGUAGGCAGCUUACUACACAAAUAUUGACACUGAGGCACGAAAGCGUGGGGAUCAAACAGG